AUUGAACGCUAGCGGGAGGCCUAACACAUGCAAGUAGAACGAGUGGCGGACGGGUGAGUAAUGUCUGGGAAACUGCCCAAUGGAGGGGGAUAACUACUCGAAACGGUAGCUAAUACCGCAUACCAUCGGAUGAGCCGAGAUGGGAUUAGCUAGUGGGUGGGGUAACGGCUCACCAAGGCGACGAUCCCUAGCUGGUCUGAGAGGACGACCAGCCACACUGGGACGGAGACACGGCCCAGACUCCUACGGGAGGCAGCAGUGGGGAAUAUUGGACAAUGGGCGAAACCCUGAUGCAGCCAUCCCGCGUGUAUGAUGAAGGCCUUCGGGUUGUAAAGUACUUUCGGCAGGGAGGCGGUACUUGCAGAAGAAGCACCGGCUAACUACGUGCCAGCAGCCGCGGUAAUAC
RNAcentral lists this ribosomal RNA (406 nucleotides) under uncultured bacterium. RNAcentral's name for it is "partial 16S ribosomal RNA". It matches the Rfam family "Bacterial small subunit ribosomal RNA", at positions 29 to 526 of the family's 1533-position model. The record is from RNAcentral.